Molecule: long non-coding RNA, 330 nt
Organism: Eublepharis macularius
Lineage: Eukaryota; Metazoa; Chordata; Lepidosauria; Squamata; Eublepharidae
Exons: 4
Source: RefSeq, a predicted model, not a curated record
GGCGGGGUGUGCACGCGACGUCACUCGAGGAGAUUCUCGGUUACCUCAGGACGGGUUCCUCCUUAGGAAGGAAGGAAAGAUCUGAGAGCCCAUUCUAGGUUUACAAUCCUUUGGUUUACAGUACAAGCAGCUCAGUACAAGCAGCUAUUUCCCCUCCUCCAAAUAGUAAAGGAACAGAGUGGUGGUGCAUAUACUCAGCACGUUGUAUGCGGACCUUGUUCAGAUACCCUACAGAGGUUCACAUGCAACUGUCUAGGCUCCAAAUCCCAAAUCAGCAUGCUAAGCCAAAAUUUAAAAUGCUGGGAAGGUACCUGACAGAGCUGUGAUGCA